This 519-nucleotide ribosomal RNA is filed under the name uncultured eukaryote. Its description in RNAcentral is "bacterial SSU rRNA". It matches the Rfam family "Eukaryotic small subunit ribosomal RNA", at positions 1161 to 1650 of the family's 1831-position model. The record is from RNAcentral.
AGGGCACCACCAGGAGUGGAGCCUGCGGCUUAAUUUGACUCAACACGGGAAAACUUACCUGGUCAGGACACUGGAAGGAUUGACAGAUUGAGAGCUCUUUCUUGAUUCAGUGGGUGGUGGUGCAUGGCCGUUCUUGGUUGGUGGAGCGAUUUGUCUGGUUAAUUCCGAUAACGAACGAGACUCUAGCCUACUAACUAGACUGCUCAACUUUAUAGCUGCAUCACCCUGCAGGUGCUUCGGUGCUUGUAGGGCUGUGGUGACGUUGGCAGUGCUUCUUAGAGGGACAGGCGGCGGUUCAGCCGCACGAAACAGAGCAAUAACAGGUCUGUGAUGCCCUUAGAUGUCCAGGGCCGCACGCGCGCUACACUGAAGUGAUCAGCGUGCAAUUAACGUUUCCUACUCCGUCAGGAGUGGGUAACCCGUUGAACCUUCUUCGUGAUUGGGAUAGGGGAUUGUAAUUAUUCCCCUUGAACGAGGAAUUCCCAGUAAGCGCAAGUCAUAAGCUUGCGUUGAUUACGU